UUGAAGAGUUUGAUCAUGGCUCAGAUUGAACGCUGGCGGCAGGCCUAACACAUGCAAGUCGAGCGGUAGCACAGAGAGCUUGCUCUCGGGUGACGAGCGGCGGACGGGUGAGUAAUGUCUGGGAAACUGCCUGAUGGAGGGGGAUAACUACUGGAAACGGUAGCUAAUACCGCAUAACGUCGUAAGACCAAAGUGGGGGACCUUCGGGCCUCAUGCCAUCAGAUGUGCCCAGAUGGGAUUAGCUAGUAGGUGGGGUAACGGCUCACCUAGGCGACGAUCCCUAGCUGGUCUGAGAGGAUGACCAGCCACACUGGAACUGAGACACGGUCCAGACUCCUACGGGAGGCAGCAGUGGGGAAUAUUGCACAAUGGGCGCAAGCCUGAUGCAGCCAUGCCGCGUGUGUGAAGAAGGCCUUCGGGUUGUAAAGCACUUUCAGCGGGGAGGAAGGCGGUGAGGUUAAUAACCUCAUCGAUUGACGUUACCCGCAGAAGAAGCACCGGCUAACUCCGUGCCAGCAGCCGCGGUAAUACGGAGGGUGCAAGCGUUAAUCGGAAUUACUGGGCGUAAAGCGCACGCAGGCGGUCUGUCAAGUCGGAUGUGAAAUCCCCGGGCUCAACCUGGGAACUGCAUUCGAAACUGGCAGGCUAGAGUCUUGUAGAGGGGGGUAGAAUUCCAGGUGUAGCGGUGAAAUGCGUAGAGAUCUGGAGGAAUACCGGUGGCGAAGGCGGCCCCCUGGACAAAGACUGACGCUCAGGUGCGAAAGCGUGGGGAGCAAACAGGAUUAGAUACCCUGGUAGUCCACGCCGUAAACGAUGUCGAUUUGGAGGUUGUGCCCUUGAGGCGUGGCUUCCGGAGCUAACGCGUUAAAUCGACCGCCUGGGGAGUACGGCCGCAAGGUUAAAACUCAAAUGAAUUGACGGGGGCCCGCACAAGCGGUGGAGCAUGUGGUUUAAUUCGAUGCAACGCGAAGAACCUUACCUGGUCUUGACAUCCACAGAACUUAGCAGAGAUGCUUUGGUGCCUUCGGGAACUGUGAGACAGGUGCUGCAUGGCUGUCGUCAGCUCGUGUUGUGAAAUGUUGGGUUAAGUCCCGCAACGAGCGCAACCCUUAUCCUUUGUUGCCAGCGGUUAGGCCGGGAACUCAAAGGAGACUGCCAGUGAUAAACUGGAGGAAGGUGGGGAUGACGUCAAGUCAUCAUGGCCCUUACGACCAGGGCUACACACGUGCUACAAUGGCAUAUACAAAGAGAAGCGACCUCGCGAGAGCAAGCGGACCUCAUAAAGUAUGUCGUAGUCCGGAUUGGAGUCUGCAACUCGACUCCAUGAAGUCGGAAUCGCUAGUAAUCGUAGAUCAGAAUGCUACGGUGAAUACGUUCCCGGGCCUUGUACACACCGCCCGUCACACCAUGGGAGUGGGUUGCAAAAGAAGUAGGUAGCUUAACCUUCGGGAGGGCGCUUACCACUUUGUGAUUCAUGACUGGGGUGAAGUCGUAACAAGGUAACCGUAGGGGAACCUGCGGUUGGAUCACCUCCUU
Molecule: ribosomal RNA, 1536 nt
Filed under: Klebsiella quasivariicola
Lineage: Bacteria; Pseudomonadati; Pseudomonadota; Gammaproteobacteria; Enterobacterales; Enterobacteriaceae
Description: bacterial SSU rRNA
Rfam family: Bacterial small subunit ribosomal RNA
Source: RNAcentral